Molecule: ribosomal RNA, 439 nt
Filed under: uncultured bacterium
Lineage: Bacteria
Description: partial 16S ribosomal RNA
Rfam family: Bacterial small subunit ribosomal RNA
Source: RNAcentral
CUACGGGUUGCUGCAGUGGGGAAUAUUGCACAAUGGAGGAAACUCUGAUGCAGCAACGCCGCGUGGAGGAUGACACUUUUCGGAGCGUAAACUCCUUUUAUAUAGGAAGAAGAUGACGGUACUAUAUGAAUAAGCGCCGGCUAACUCCGUGCCAGCAGCCGCGGUAAUACGGAGGGCGCAAGCGUUACUCGGAAUCACUGGGCGGAAAGAGCGUGUAGGCGGAUUAAAAAGUCAGAAGUGAAAUCCUAUAGCUUAACUAUAGAACUGCUUCUGAAACUCUUAAUCUAGAAUAUGGGAGAGGUAGAUGGAAUUUCUGGUGUAGGGGUAAAAUCCGUAGAGAUCAGAAGGAAUACCGAUUGCGAAGGCGAUCUGCUAGAACAUUAUUGACGCUGAGACGCGAAAGCGUGGGGAGCAAACAGGAUUAGAUACCCCGGUAGUC